UUAAUUGAAGAGUUUGAUCAUGGCUCAGAUUGAACGCUGGCGGCAGGCCUAACACAUGCAAGUCGAACGGUAACAGGGAGCAGCUUGCUGCUCUGCUGACGAGUGGCGGACGGGUGAGUAAUGUCUGGGAAACUGCCUGAUGGAGGGGGAUAACUACUGGAAACGGUAGCUAAUACCGCAUAACGUCUUCGGACCAAAGUGGGGGACCUUCGGGCCUCAUGCCAUCAGAUGUGCCCAGAUGGGAUUAGCUAGUAGGUGGGGUAACGGCUCACCUAGGCGACGAUCCCUAGCUGGUCUGAGAGGAUGACCAGCCACACUGGAACUGAGACACGGUCCAGACUCCUACGGGAGGCAGCAGUGGGGAAUAUUGCACAAUGGGCGCAAGCCUGAUGCAGCCAUGCCGCGUGUAUGAAGAAGGCCUUCGGGUUGUAAAG
This 434-nucleotide ribosomal RNA is filed under the name Cronobacter sakazakii. RNAcentral describes it as "bacterial SSU rRNA". It matches the Rfam family "Bacterial small subunit ribosomal RNA", at positions 1 to 430 of the family's 1533-position model. Lineage: Bacteria; Pseudomonadati; Pseudomonadota; Gammaproteobacteria; Enterobacterales; Enterobacteriaceae. The record is from RNAcentral.